AUUCGACCUCAAAUCAGGUAGGACUACCCGCUGAACUUAAGCAUAUCAAAAAAGCGGAGGA
This 61-nucleotide ribosomal RNA is filed under the name Lodderomyces parapsilosis. RNAcentral describes it as "Candida parapsilosis partial 28S ribosomal RNA". The record is from RNAcentral. Lineage: Eukaryota; Fungi; Ascomycota; Pichiomycetes; Serinales; Debaryomycetaceae.